This is a small nuclear RNA of Nannospalax galili (Upper Galilee mountains blind mole rat), 104 nucleotides long. The record is from Ensembl. NCBI's taxonomy places the organism in Eukaryota, Metazoa, Chordata, Mammalia, Rodentia, Spalacidae.
GUGCUUACUUCAGCAGCACAUAUACUGAAAUUAGAAUAAUACAGAGAUUAUCAUGGUCCCUGUGCAAGGCUGACAAGCAAAUUCAUAAAAUGUCCCAUAUUAAA